AUUGGGUGUGAGUUGGAAAACAUACCUUUGUAACUUUUCUAUAAAUCUAAAAUUAUUCCAAAAAAUUUUUAUUAAAAAGAAUCAGAUCAUGACUUCUAACUAAAGAAAACUAAGAAAGUGGGUCUGACAGAUUUGGAUUUAGGGUAGUCUUGGAGUAUAAUAUUCUUGGGUCCAGGAGAUGCAGAAUACUGGCUUUUACUCCUUAGAAGAUAACUCAAAACGCAGGGACAUAUUCGUGUUUGCAGUGCUUUAAAGCUUGACGCGAAUGUAGCCACUAACAAAGCAUAUCUCCCUCUCAAGCUCUCAUGGACUCUCUUCUAAUUGCCCAGUGAAAGAGCAGCAUCAAGAUGCUUGGGCAACAGCUAAUCGUUUAAAUCCAAAAACGAAGGAAAGGGAAAGAAUGCUCUUUGAAGACUCAGGAUAGGAGAAUUACCAAUGCAACGAAUAGAGCUUGUCUGAAAAUGAUGUUUGUCUCUAUCUUUUGCAAUAAGACCAAUAUUUAUUAAAGUAUGUUUGUGG
RNAcentral lists this long non-coding RNA (519 nucleotides) under Callithrix jacchus (white-tufted-ear marmoset). RNAcentral describes it as "lncRNA (ENSCJAG00000067074.2)". Lineage: Eukaryota; Metazoa; Chordata; Mammalia; Primates; Cebidae. The record is from RNAcentral.